Molecule: long non-coding RNA, 790 nt
Organism: Hemicordylus capensis (graceful crag lizard)
Lineage: Eukaryota; Metazoa; Chordata; Lepidosauria; Squamata; Cordylidae
Exons: 4
Source: RefSeq, a predicted model, not a curated record
CAGGGUAAUAUGCAAAUAAAUGUCCUUGCCAGGAACUAAUAGCUACAAGGGGAAGAAAACUUCUUGCCAUCUGGAACUGUCAAAAGAGCUAGGAAGAUCUACAUCUUGGCCCACCGAUGUGGAAUUUAAAUGAACAUUGGAGCGAUAAGCAAAAAAGAAACAAGCCAAUCUCAAGGCACACAAUAAGCAAAUAGCAACAGAAGCAAAACAAAUAACUCUUAAAUAAGCAGCAAUAACAAAACCCAAGAGAACGGAAGCAGUCAAGUUAAGAAAUCCCAAGGCCUUCUGGAAAAGCAUGGCUUUCACCAAAUGUCUAAUAGCCAAUAAGGAGGGAACAGAAUGGAUUUCUCCAGGGACGUCUACAACCUUGGGGCCAUGGCUGAAAAGGCCCUGCCUCGGACAUUGUACUUCAGAAGGCAGAAUGACCUAGAGUAGAAGAUUUUUAAGUACAGAUUCCACCGCGAUUCAGUUGGGAAGAACACCUGCAUGCUUGCCUACAGAAUGAUACAAGUUCCUUCCCUGGCAUCUCCAAGAUAGGGCUAGGAAAGAUUCCUGCCUGCAACCUUGGAGAAGCCGCUGCCAGUGUGUGCAGACAAUACUGCGCUAGAUGGACCAAUGCUCUGAUUUGGUAUAAGGCAGCUUCCUAUGUUCCUAUCUCCAGUUCCCUGUGCCUCCUGAAAAUAAGUCCCUAGGCUCUCUCUAAGAUCUGUCCUUGGAAAAGCCUGUGGCUCAGUGGGCAAGAAUGUGCUUUGGAUUCAGGAUAUCUCAGGUUCAAUCCUUGACAUCAUCU